Small nuclear RNA from Callithrix jacchus (white-tufted-ear marmoset), 140 nucleotides. Its record names the gene U4. It matches the Rfam family "U4 spliceosomal RNA". From Rfam's summary of the family: U4 small nuclear RNA (U4 snRNA) is a component of the major U2-dependent spliceosome. The structure of U4 snRNA from yeast and human has been reported. NCBI's taxonomy places the organism in Eukaryota, Metazoa, Chordata, Mammalia, Primates, Cebidae. The record is from Ensembl.
AGCUUUGCGCAGUGGCAGUAUUGUAGCCAAUGAGGUUUAUCCAAGGCGUGAUUAUUGCUAAUUGAAAACUUUUCCCAAUACCCGUCAUGAUGACUUGAAAUAUAGUCGGCAUUGGCAGUUUUUUACAGUCUCUACAGAGA